GGUUUGAUCAUGGCUCAGAUUGAACGCUGGCGGGAUGUUUACACAUGCAAGUCGAACGGCAGCACGGACUUCGGUCUGGUGGCGAGUAUGAACGGGUGAGUAAUGUGUUCGGAACGUGCCUAGUAGCGGGGGAUAACUACGCGAGCGUAGCUAAUACCGGCAUACGCCCUUCGGGGAAAGCGGGGGAACCCUCGGCCUCGCACUAUUAGAGCGGCCGGACAUCGGAUUAGCUAGUUGGUGGGGUAACGGCUCACCAAGGCGACGAUCCGUAGCUGGUUUGAGAGGACGACCAGCCACACUGGGACCGAGACACGGCCCAGACUCCUACGGGAGGCAGUGGGGAAUUUUGACAAUGGGGGAAACCCCGAUCCAGCCAUCCCGCGUGCGAUGAAGCGCCUUCGGGUUGUAAAGCACUUUUGGCAGGAAAGAAACGGCACGGGAUAAUACCCCGUGCAACUGACGGUACCUGCAGAAUAAGCACCGGCUAACUACGUGCCAGCAGCCGCGGUAAUACGUAGGGUGCAAGCGUUAAUCGGAAUUACUGGGCGCAAGCGUGCGCAGGCGGUUCGGAAAAAGAAAGAUGUGAAAUCCCAGAGCUUAACUUUGGAACUGCAUUUUUAACUACCGAGCUAGAGUGUGUCAGAGGGAGGUGGAAUUCCGCGUGUAGCAGUGAAAUGCGUAGAUAUGCGGAGGAACACCGAUGGCGAAGGCAGCCUCCUGGGAUAACACUGACGCUCAUGCACGAAAGCGUGGGGAGCAAACAGGAUUAGAUACUCCGGUAGUCCACGCCCUAAACGUGAUGUCAACUAGCUGUUGUCCUUCGGGCCUUGGUAGCGCAGCUAACGCGUGAAGUUGACCGCCUGGGGAGUACGGUCGCAAGAUUAAAACUCAAAGGAAUUGACGGGGACCCGCACAAGCGGUGGAUGAUGUGGAUUAAUUCGAUGCAACGCGAAAACCUUACCUACCCUUGACAUGUCUGGAAUCCCGAAGAGAUUUGGGAGUGCUCGCAAGAGAACCGGAACACAGGUGCUGCAUGGCUGUCGUCAGCUCGUGUCGUGAGAUGUUGGGUUAAGUCCCGCAACGAGCGCAACCCGUCAUUAGUUGCUACGAAAGGGCACUCUAAUGACUGCCGGUGACAAACCGGAGGAAGGUGGGGAUGACGUCAAGUCCUCAUGGCCCUUAUGGGUAGGGCUUCACACGUCAUACAAUGGUCGGGACAGAGGGUCGCCAACCCGCGAGGGGGAGCCAAUCCCAGAAACCCGAUCGUAGUCCGGAUCGCAGUCUGCAACUCGACUGCGUGAAGUCGGAAUCGCUAGUAAUCGCGGAUCAGCAUGUCGCGGUGAAUACGUUCCCGGGUCUUGUACACACCGCCCGUCACACCAUGGGAGUGGGUUUUACCAGAAGUAGUUAGCCUAACCGUAAGGAGGGCGAUUACCACGGUAGGAUUCAUGACUGGGGUGAAGUCGUAACAAGGUAA
This 1477-nucleotide ribosomal RNA is filed under the name uncultured Bordetella sp. RNAcentral's name for it is "partial 16S-23S ribosomal RNA intergenic spacer". It matches the Rfam family "Bacterial small subunit ribosomal RNA". The record is from RNAcentral. Lineage: Bacteria; Pseudomonadati; Pseudomonadota; Betaproteobacteria; Burkholderiales; Alcaligenaceae.